This 253-nucleotide ribosomal RNA is filed under the name uncultured bacterium. RNAcentral's name for it is "partial 16S ribosomal RNA". It matches the Rfam family "Bacterial small subunit ribosomal RNA", at positions 524 to 776 of the family's 1533-position model. The record is from RNAcentral.
UACGUAGGGUGCAAGCGUUGUCCGGAAUUAUUGGGCGUAAAGAGCUCGUAGGCGGUCUGUCGCGUCGGCUGUGAAAACCUGAGGCUCAACCUCAGGCCUGCAGUCGAUACGGGCAGACUAGAGUUCGGUAGGGGAGACUGGAAUUCCUGGUGUAGCGGUGAAAUGCGCAGAUAUCAGGAGGAACACCGGUGGCGAAGGCGGGUCUCUGGGCCGAUACUGACGCUGAGGAGCGAAAGCGUGGGGAGCGAACAGG